UACGGGGGGGGCAAGCGUUGUUCGGAAUUACUGGGCGUAAAGGGCGCGUAGGCGGUUCAUUAAGUUGGAUGUGAAAACUCUGGGCUUAACCCAGAAAGGUCAACCGAUACUGCGGGGCUAGAGUGCAGAAGGGGCAACUGGAAUUCUCGGUGUAGAGGUGAAAUGCGUAGAUAUCGAGAGGAACACCUGCGGCGAAGGCGGGUUGCUGGGCUGACACUGACGCUGAUGCGCGAAAGCUAGGGGAGCGAACGGG
RNAcentral lists this ribosomal RNA (253 nucleotides) under uncultured bacterium. Its description in RNAcentral is "partial 16S ribosomal RNA". It matches the Rfam family "Bacterial small subunit ribosomal RNA", at positions 524 to 776 of the family's 1533-position model. The record is from RNAcentral.